Molecule: ribosomal RNA, 433 nt
Filed under: uncultured bacterium
Lineage: Bacteria
Description: partial 16S ribosomal RNA
Rfam family: Bacterial small subunit ribosomal RNA
Source: RNAcentral
AACGAACGCUGGCGGCAGGCCUAACACAUGCAAGUCGAGCGAGGACUUCGGUCCUAGCGGCGGACGGGUGAGUAACGCGUGGGAACGUGCCCUUUGCUUCGGAAUAGCCCUGGGAAACUGGGAGUAAUACCGGAUGAGCCCUUUGGGGGAAAGAUUUAUCGGCGAAGGAUCGGCCCGCGUUGGAUUAGGUAGUUGGUGGGGUAAUGGCCUACCAAGCCGACGAUCCAUAGCUGGUAUGAGAGGAUGAUCAGCCACUCUGGUACUGAGACGCGGCCCAGACUCCUACGGGCGGCAGCAGAGGGGAAUCUUAGACAAUGGGGGGAACCCUGAUCGAGCCAUGCCGCGAGAAAGAUGAAGUCCUUAGGGUUGUAAGGCUCUUUCAACUGGGAAGAUAAUGACGGUACCAACAGAAGAAGCCCCGGCUAACUCCGUG